AGGAUAUCCAAUCUUCAGCUUCUCCUGCCACAGCCUCCGUGAAAGUGCAGCUGCCUUUUCUAUAGAGCACGGGAUUGAGAUGGAGCUGUGAAGAGUGUGGUCGCCAGCACCCGCAGCCUUGGGUUAAAUAAUCACUCCAGUCAGCAGGAGUCCCAGCAUGUGAACUGGACCUGACCAGCUGAAGGAGAACCGCUCUUGAGGCAGCCCACAAGACCAGGACAGACAGGGAGAUUUGAACUGCACCAAAGUAUCAACAACAAUCAGUCUGUUUCUGAAGAA
RNAcentral lists this long non-coding RNA (279 nucleotides) under Urocitellus parryii (Arctic ground squirrel). RNAcentral describes it as "lncRNA (ENSUPAG00010011994.1)". The record is from RNAcentral. Lineage: Eukaryota; Metazoa; Chordata; Mammalia; Rodentia; Sciuridae.